UUCAGUGAGCCUUACAGGAGCAAGUUGCACUCAUUAGAGGAGCAGCAGGUCGACUUGGCUCAUGACAUAGACAAGAUUAAAUAUGACCAAGAAGAGGAAGAAGAUCAAGGCCCACCAUGCCCCAGUCUCUGCAUGGAACUGGUGGAAGCAGAAGGACCUGAAGUCUUCCGGUACUCACUGGAUAUAUUGUAUUCAACGUAUACAGCUUAUCCUGAGUUUUACUACACAUGCCACGAUUACACAUAUGCCAUUUUUUUACUUGUGGAAGAGCAUGUUCGCUUGACUUUGGACAUGGACAGUAGGUUUCUUACUAUGACGGUGAU
Cebus imitator (Panamanian white-faced capuchin) is the source of this 323-nucleotide long non-coding RNA. RefSeq lists it as uncharacterized. The transcript is spliced from 3 exons. The record is from RefSeq and is a predicted model, not a curated record. NCBI's taxonomy places the organism in Eukaryota, Metazoa, Chordata, Mammalia, Primates, Cebidae.